UUUGGGUCAGUGAUUUGAGAAGGACAAGCCCUCGAAUGCAAUCAAUAUCAUACACACAUAAAUAAAACCUAGCCUACACAUUACUCAUACUCAUUCAUUCACACAAUUUUCUUUGUUUUUUUAAAGAAAAAAUGGCAACUUCUUCAUCUUCUUCCUCUGCAAACACUUCUUGGGUGAAAACCAUCACAACUCCAUUCAGAAAAGCCCGGACUUUCUUUGUUCCUGGUGGAACUUCCACUAGGUCAAGUACCAAGUCACCCCUCCACCACCAAGGGCAUGAAGAUAAGAGGAUGAGGGAUCUUCAACUAGAAGGAGAAGUGAUGGCAUGUGCUUAUGAAGAUGUUCAAGUGAUGUGGUCCAUUUUGGACAAGUCAAACCAAAGAGUCUGCGAUGUUUCAUCUUGAAAUUUCAUGGGAGGUGGAUGAGUUUGCUAAUGGAAUCAAGAACCUCUGCCUCUGUUGUUGUUAGGCUUAGUUAGGGAGCUAGUUAGCUAUAAAUCUUUGGGCUACUUGAUGUUUGAUUAGAACAUUCAAAGAGGAUUAGAGUAAUCAAACAAGAGGGAGCUGGAGAAAUAUAUAUUUGUUUAGAUGGUGAAGGAGAGAUGAUGAUUUUGGUUUGUAAAUUUUAAGGUUCUUGUUCUUGUCAUCAUCUCUUGAAUGAAUGAAUCCCUGUGGUUUGCAUAUAUCAUGUGAGAUUUUUAUGUUCAAUGGUAUAUGCAAACAGUUUUUGUUUUCC
This is a long non-coding RNA of Daucus carota subsp. sativus, 735 nucleotides long. RefSeq lists it as uncharacterized. The record is from RefSeq and is a predicted model, not a curated record. The transcript is spliced from 2 exons. NCBI's taxonomy places the organism in Eukaryota, Viridiplantae, Streptophyta, Magnoliopsida, Apiales, Apiaceae.